UCGGGCAAGCCAUUAACAUGCAAGUCGAACGGCAGCACGGGUGCUUGCACCUGGUGGCGAGUGGCGAACGGGUGAGUAAUACAUCGGAACAUGUCCUGUAGUGGGGGAUAGCCCGGCGAAAGCCGGAUUAAUACCGCAUACGAUCUACGGAUGAAAGCGGGGGACCUUCGGGCCUCGCGCUAUAGGGUUGGCCGAUGGCUGAUUAGCUAGUUGGUGGGGUAAAGGCCCACCAAGGCGACGAUCAGUAGCUGGUCUGAGAGGACGACCAGCCACACUGGGACUGAGACACGGCCCAGACUCCUACGGGAGGCAGCAGUGGGGAAUUUUGGACAAUGGGCGAAAGCCUGAUCCAGCAAUGCCGCGUGUGUGAAGAAGGCCUUCGGGUUGUAAAGCACUUUUGUCCGGAAAGAAAUCCUGAGGGCUAAUAUCCUUCGGGGAUGACGGUACCGGAAGAAUAAGCACCGGCUAACUACGUGCCAGCAGCCGCGGUAAUACGUAGGGUGCGAGCGUUAAUCGGAAUUACUGGGCGUAAAGCGUGCGCAGGCGGUUUGUUAAGACCGAUGUGAAAUCCCCGGGCUCAACCUGGGAACUGCAUUGGUGACUGGCCAGCUAGAAUAUGGCAUAGGGGG
Molecule: ribosomal RNA, 629 nt
Filed under: Burkholderia sp.
Lineage: Bacteria; Pseudomonadati; Pseudomonadota; Betaproteobacteria; Burkholderiales; Burkholderiaceae
Description: bacterial SSU rRNA
Rfam family: Bacterial small subunit ribosomal RNA
Source: RNAcentral